This 1060-nucleotide long non-coding RNA is filed under the name Sus scrofa (pig). Its description in RNAcentral is "lncRNA (ENSSSCG00055014230.1)". The record is from RNAcentral. Lineage: Eukaryota; Metazoa; Chordata; Mammalia; Artiodactyla; Suidae.
CUCUGCGACAGAGUCCCGGGCAAGGCAGGGCCUCCGCUUCCCCGCUGCACGUGUCCCGCAUGGUCACACGAGAGCCGUUCCCGAGAGGGACUGGCUGACUGAUCACAGGCCCUGGGCUAGUGAUUCCACCAGCUUUGAUAUAAAAUAAUAUUUAUGGAACAGCCUAGGCUUUGAGUUGGACGUGAAACAUGAGGGGCAUGAAUGUUUCAUCUCGCUCGUUAGGCAGAGCGCCCGCCAUCCAUAAAGCAGGCCCUCGGCUCCAGGCGCCGUUCAUCACAUGAUGCUGGGAUUGUCUGGACACCAGCGGUGAGCCCCCUCUGCGAGUGAUGCGUAAAGAGCACCUUUGUAACUGGGCAACGCAGAAGCACAUCGCUGCUCCCAUCCUCAGAGAGGUGGGGGGCCUUGAAACAGAGCCGGAGGUUGAGGGUCCCUGCGGCACAGGGUGGGUCGGUCCUGGGCCCCCACGUACCCCGUCUCUGCACAUCUGGCCCUGGGAGCCCAGGGCCGCGGGGAGGUGUUGGGACUGAAUUGCCCAGACUCUGCAAAGACACCGGACACAGUCACUGAAGCACCACCCGCAGGUGACGGGGGAUCUCAUCUCCCCUGGGGCCUUCAGGACCCUGUAGUCCUGACUGCAGAGCGGCUGAUGGAACGUGAUUCCCCAGAGUCGGAGGACUACAGGUCCUGUCCGGAAGGAGGGGGCGCUGUGCCAACAGCCUGUACAGGCCCCUGGCUCCCACCCCUGGUGCCAGGCAGGUUCCUCUGAGGUGGGCUCUCCCCGGGGCAAUGAGAGCCCAGCCUCACGCCCCAGUGGAAGGGGUCACCUUGGGGACCAGGCUUCACAGAAAAGGCAUCUGUUUCUCAGCAGCAGCAGAGGCCACCAGGGAGCUCCCAUCUACAGAAUGAUACCCACGUUUCCUCCAGUCCUGAGAUCCUUAUGGGGUGACGUUUCCUUCAAGCAUCUUGAAAGUGGGUGUGACUUAAGAACAGCUCUUGGAGUUCCCACUGCAGCACAGUGGGUGAAGAAUCCAACUGCUGUGGCUCAGGGUGCUGCAAGGCA